AAGUGAAGGGUGUUUGUCUCCCUGGAAACCACUUGCUAAUCUGCAGGACGAUGUCUUUUUGCAGGCAAGGGAGGUGGAGGCAGCCAUCGAGGGGAUGCUCCUCCUGCUGGAAGAGUUUUGCAGCCUGAUGGACACGAUCAGGAGCGACACUUCACAGAUCUUGGAGGAGAACAUUCCGCUCCUUAAGGCCAGAGUGACAGAAAUGCGAGACAUCUAUGCCAAAGUGGACCGGCUCGAGAAACCAUCUGCAGCAGUGCCUGCGGCGGUUGAGCUGCCCACACUGUUCCGGAUGGAGGACUACUUCCCUGCAGACACCCCAGAGGUGCAGCGUCGUGGCCCCGACUGCCUCAGCCCCUGUUAG
This 361-nucleotide long non-coding RNA is filed under the name Cavia porcellus (domestic guinea pig). Its description in RNAcentral is "lncRNA (ENSCPOG00000035960.1)". The record is from RNAcentral. Lineage: Eukaryota; Metazoa; Chordata; Mammalia; Rodentia; Caviidae.